RNAcentral lists this ribosomal RNA (468 nucleotides) under uncultured bacterium. Its description in RNAcentral is "partial 16S ribosomal RNA". It matches the Rfam family "Bacterial small subunit ribosomal RNA", at positions 28 to 507 of the family's 1533-position model. The record is from RNAcentral.
GACGAACGCUGGCGGCGUGCUUAACACAUGCAAGUCGAACGGAAAGGCCCUGCUUUUGGGGGGUGCUCGAGUGGCGAACGGGUGAGUAACACGCGAGUAACCUGCCCUUGACUUUGGGAUAACUUCAGGAAACUGGGGCUAAUAACGGCUAGAAGCUCCUGCUUCAUGGUGUGGGGUGGAAAUUUUCGGCGGUUGGGGAUGGACUCGCGGCUUAUCAGCUGGGUGGUGGGGUAGUGGCGUACGACGGCUUUGACGGGUAGCCGGCCUGGGAGGGUGACAGGCCACAUUGGGCCUGAGGUAGGAGCCAGAAUGCUACGGGCGGCAGCAGUGGAGAACAUUGCGCACUGGGCCGAAGCCUGAUGCAGCGACGCCGGGUGCGGAAUGACGGCUUUCGGGUUGUAAACGGCUUUCGCCUGAGACGAAGAGUGAGUGACGGUACUGGGUAAGGAAGCAACGGCUAACUACGUG